GUGGUUUGAAUCAUUAUCAUUCAUCUCUUUUGUCCCUAAUGUAAAAUAUGUUAUCAGAUUAAUCAACGUAAUCACUACUGCUUAUCUGACUGCUAUUCAGAAAAAAUAAAAUCUAAAAAGGUGUAAACCUUCCACUAAAAAGUAAUAACCAUCCCUAGGUACUACACACAUCUGCAUUCGGAAGGAGGCAUAACAAAGUUCCAACCAUA
Molecule: long non-coding RNA, 209 nt
Filed under: Mytilus galloprovincialis (Mediterranean mussel)
Lineage: Eukaryota; Metazoa; Mollusca; Bivalvia; Mytilida; Mytilidae
Source: RNAcentral